GACGAACGCUGGCGGCGCGCUUAACACAUGCAAGUCGAACGGAAAGGCCUGCUUUCCCUUGUGGAUUGCGGGUACUCGAGUGGCGAACGGGUGAGUAACACGUGAGUGAUCUGCCCCCAACUUGGGUAUAAGCCUGGGAAACUGGGUCUAAUUCCCGAUAGGACUGCAGGGUGGUGCCUGUGGUGGAAAACGAUUUUCUAGUGGUUGGGGAUGAGCUCGCGGCCUAUCAGCUUGUUGGUGGGGUAAUGGCCUACCAAGGCGGCGACGGGUAGCCGGCCUGAGAGGGUGGACGGCCACAUUGGGACUGAGAUACGGCCCAGACUCCUACGGGAGGCAGCAGUGGGGAAUAUUGCACAAUGGGCGGAAGCCUGAUGCAGCGACGCCGCGUGGGGGAUGACGGCCUUCGGGUUGUAAACUCCUUUCGACCGCGAGGAAGCCACCUGGUUGGAAGGGUGGUGACGGUAGUGGUAUAAGAAGCACCGGCUAACUACGUG
Molecule: ribosomal RNA, 494 nt
Filed under: uncultured bacterium
Lineage: Bacteria
Description: partial 16S ribosomal RNA
Rfam family: Bacterial small subunit ribosomal RNA
Source: RNAcentral